AGCGAACGCUGGCGGCAGGCCUAAUACAUGCAAGUCGAACGGAUCCUUCGGGAUUAGUGGCGGACGGGUGAGUAACACGUGGGAACGUGCCCUUUGGUUCGGAACAACUCAGGGAAACUUGAGCUAAUACCGGAUAAGCCCUUCGGGGAAGAUUAUCGCCAUUGGAACGGCCGCGUCUGAUUAGCUAGUUGGUGGGGUAAAGGCCUACCAAGGCGACGAUCAGUAGCUGGUCUGAGAGGAUGANCAGCCAGACUGGGACUGAGACACGGCCCAGACUCUACGGGAGGCAGCAGCAAGGAAUUUUCCCCAAUGGGCGCAAGCCUGAGGGAGCAACGCCGCGUGCGGGACGAC
RNAcentral lists this ribosomal RNA (351 nucleotides) under uncultured bacterium. RNAcentral's name for it is "bacterial SSU rRNA". It matches the Rfam family "Bacterial small subunit ribosomal RNA", at positions 29 to 412 of the family's 1533-position model. The record is from RNAcentral.